This 8987-nucleotide long non-coding RNA is filed under the name Coffea arabica (coffee). Its description in RNAcentral is "long non-coding RNA (CARA_LNC002507)". The record is from RNAcentral. Lineage: Eukaryota; Viridiplantae; Streptophyta; Magnoliopsida; Gentianales; Rubiaceae.
CAAGGAGCCAAAGUUCACCUUAUUCAAAGUAAACAGCCUUCCAUCUCAGAUGUUGAAUUUCCUGGCAAUUGCGUAUGUAUUACAAUCUUUUACCAUGACUUUAGAGGAUAGCUAAUUUUGCUUGCUAUUAAAUAAUAAUUUCGGUAGUCUAUAAAUACUCUUGUUCCUCACUGCUUCUUGCACCACAUAAUUCUUUCAAGAACUACCAAAACCUUCUUGAAAUCCCUCUCUUUCCUUUUAGUUCAUUUCCAAGAAACCAAUUGAACCAUCAUGGCCCCUGUCACUUCCAGUUAUGAGGUCACCUCCUCAAUCCCUCCUGCAAGGUUGUUCAAGGCCACCAUCCUUGAAGAGAAACAUCUUCACAAGAUCUUGCCACAGGGUGUUAAGAGUGUCGAAAUCCUUGAAGGAGAUGGUGGAGUUGGCACAAUUAAGUUGACCACAUUUGUUGAUGGUAAGAUAAUCAAUACAAAGUGAUUAUUUUCACACAUUUGAAGUCUUCAAAUUGCUCCUUUUUUUUUCCUUUUAUUUGGGAAAAACUAAUGACUUUUUUUUUUGGUUGGGUUAAAUAUUUAGGUGGCGAGCAUAAGACUGCCAAGCAGAGAGUUGAUGGAAUUGACAAAGAAAAAUUUACAUACAGUUAUACUGUACUUGAAGCUGAUGGAUUUAACGAUGUAAUCGAGAAAAUCUGUUGUGUCAUCAAAUUUGAACCCUCUGCUGAUGGAGGUUCAAUCUGCAAAACCACUAACACAUACCACCCCAAAAGUGGUGCUCAGAUCGGUGAGGAACACCUCAAGGGAGGAAAAGAGAUGGGUUUGGGAAUGGUUAAGGCUGUUGAGGCUUACCUCCACGCAAAUCCUACUGCCUACAACUAAUUAUAAUGAAUGCUACUGAAGGACUCUUCGACAUAUUUUCUUCAAGAUUGAAGUACACACUGAGGGUGUGUUUCCUUUUUUGCUUGGUUUGCUUUAAGCUGUUUGGUUAAGUUAAAAACAAAAUUGAAUCAUAGAGAGAACAAAAAAAAUAUAGUGUUUCUUAUGGAGAAAAAAAUGGAGCUGAUGCCUAAAAUCUCACAUGGAUCCAACUCAGUCCAUUUAAUGGAGAAAAGGCAAAUAACACAACAAGAAUAUGCUCAAAGUUGGAAAAAUGUGCUAUAAUUAUGAUUACUCCUUUAUGAAAUAAAGCUGAAAGCAGCUCAAUUUCUUUUUGUUUUCCAUAUUAUUCAAUUUCGUUGUCGAUUUUUGAUAGAUGUAUUUUUUUUAUUGCUUUAAUAAGGGCUAUGAUUGGAUAUCCUGUUAUGCCAUUGGCUGUCGAUGCUAAACCUGAUAAAUUAGAUGGAUCAUCCAAAUAAAGACAAAAUUGGCUAUGUAAACAUUGGUGAGGGACUAUUUCAGCUUAAGAAAAAUAGUUGAGGGACUAAAUUGGCUUAUAAUAAAAUUAGGGACUAUUUCAGCUUUGUAAAAAUAGUUGAGAGACUAAAUUGACUCAUGAAAAGUUUAGGGACUAUUUUGACAUUAACGAAAUAGUUUUGGGACUAUAAACAUUAGGUCACAAUGUUGAAAUAUCAAAACACAUGUUUGGGACCAAAACUCAUAGAACUUCUUCACGUCGCCAACGAAAUUUGAUUCUGAAGUAAUGCUAAUUUUAUUUAUUAUUUGUUUCCUUGCUGGUCUUCUGUCUUUUUGGUUACAAUAUUAAAAUGUAUCCAUAAUUUUCAAUUCCAAAAGUGUUGAAUAUUUAAACGAAUUCUAGGAAGGGCACUGAGAGUCAAAAUCUUAUUCAAACAGCCAGCCAUCUCAGAGUACAUAUUUUUUUAUUAUCAGGUUUAAAAUGUAUCUAUUGCAAUUUUUGAAUGAUUAGCCAUGACUAAGAGAAUAAAAUAAUUCACUUGCUGUUUUUAGAUAUGAAUUCAUGACUGUCAGUAGUCUAUAAAUACACUUAUUGCUCACCACCCUUAAUUUGCACCGCAAAAUCUUUUCAAGAUCUAUCAAACCCUCCUGUUCUUGAUCUUUGUCCAUUUGUGAAAAAGCAAAUUAAAGCAUCAUGGCUCCUAUCACUUGUAGUGCUGAGAUAACCCCCCCAAUCCCUCCUGCAAGGUUGUUCAAGGCCGCCAUCCUUGAUGACCACCUUCUUCCCAAGAUCAUGCCACAGGCUAUUAAGAGUGUGGAAAUCCUUGAAGGAGAUGGUGGAGUUUGAACGAUUAAGUUGAGCACAUUUGGUGAAGGUUAGAUGUUAUAUUAAAUGUAGAACCCAAAUUUUAAGGAUCUAAUAAUAAUCAAUGCGUGCAGGGUUACAGAAUUGAAGGGAUAAAAUAAAUAUUCAAAAUAUACGUGGAAGAAAAGAAAAUAAUAAUUCAACUCACAAUAUUAUUAAAAUUUCAAACAAUGAAAAAAAUCACACCACAAUAAAUUUAGCUGGUUCUAAUAAUAAUCAAAGCAUACAAGCUUACAGAAUUAAAAGGAUAAAACAAAUACUCAAAAUAUAUGUGGGAGAGAAGAAAAUAAUAUAUUCAACACACAAUAUUAUUGAAAUCUCAAACAAUGAAAAAAGUCACACCAUAAUAGAAAACCUUGCAAAUUUUUCUAGAUUCUUUCUCUUGAGAAACCAACCUAAAUAAUAUCCUAUUUAUAAUCUACCAAACUUGUUAGGAAAGAAAUCACUUGCGUAAGAAAUUACGAAAUAAAACAGAAAUUCCUAAAUCACACAACUACUAAAAACAUAACUCAAAUAAAAUUAGAAAAUAAAUAAAUAUUUCUAGGCUUAGUUUAAUUUGUCAACAUUGCCUCCCUUAAACCAAACUAUCCAGUGAGAUAGGUUCAACACCAUCUCAAGCAACAAUUUCUAUGUAAAUCUAUGUCGUAGUAUACUUGACAUGAAACUCUAACUUGUUAUUGGUUAUUAAUUUUGUCUUUACAUGUAACAGUGGAUGCACUAUGUAUUUUGUAAAAAAAUUCUCAACAAUUUCUUCUUGAUCAAAGUACUCACUUAUAUAAACCCAUUCAUCACCAGAAUCACCAUAUUUACCACCAAUGUAAGUGCCUAAAAUUACAAAAUCAUAGAUUGCUUUCUCGCUAAAAUUAUCAUCACCAAAUAAUUCAAAAUAACCACUACUACAAUCAUCCAAAAAUUUCAUACUGUCAGUCAACUCUUUUGGAGUAAAAUAUUUUUCAACUCCAAUGUCAUCCAUAUCUAUCAAAUCAAACAUUCUCCCAUCACUUUGAAGAGACUCCGAACCAACGAAUUUUUCAACAGCAAUUUCAUGUUCUCUUCUCUUAUCAAAUCAAAAUUUUCUUCUUCUUUUGUCAAAUUACCAUAUUAUUUUUUUUCAACAAAUUCAUUACUUCUAAUUUCUCCAAACAAGGUACGCAAAUCAAAAAUAUCAAUUGAUCCAAAAUUUUCGGUAUCAGCCAUAUUAUCAACAAAUCUAUCAUUUUUUAAAUCCACAAACCAAUACCAGCAACUAGACUUCAGUUCGAAAGCAUAAUUUCUUUCAAUCAUGUGCAAAACAUAGUAAAUAUGCUUCCAAAAUCUCUAAAGUAUUUUAGUACGACCGAUAAAGGUUUUAUAAAUACUUUUUGCCAUUAUUUUACGCAUCACUUGAAAGAAUAAUUGUGCCUUUUUCUUAAAAACAUGUUUUUACAACUUAAUUGCAUCAACCCAACAAAGAAUAUCAUCCAAAUUACAUUGUUUGAGAUAUUUUUCCACUGUUAAAAUCCAACCAAAAUAUGUAUGUCUAUUUGUGCUUAUAGGAGUCAAUAUGGAAAAUUUUUCACCAUCAAUCAGAUCUUUAUAAUAUCCAUUAUUUAACAAUUUGUAUACCUGAAUAAAUUUUUUUCCUCCAUCCUAUCAUGUUUUCUUGCCCUCCAUGGUUGACUGACCAAAUUAUUGUUGUAUGUAUACCCAUGCUCGUCAAACCUCAUUCGUGUACACUCGUAAGGAGUGGUUCUGAGCUUAUUGUGAAUGCUCAGUACCAAGAAGUAGAAGAGAUAAUGCAUAAGAGAGAAUUAACUUGGCUAAAGAAUUGGGAAGCAAUUUAGGGAUUUUUUAAGAAAUUAAUUCUCCAACCGCCACUUUUGGAAAUUUCUAUCAACAACUAGUUACCAAAACACUAGCACAUAGUAAGAAAUCCGGAUAAUUUCAUAAACCUACCUUUAGGUUUUUAAUAAUUUCAAGAAGCUCUCCUCAAUAUUUUAAAAUUACACAUACUUUCCCUAUUGGUGCAAAAGUACUCUACUACCCCUAAUAGGAUACUCAAAAGACUUUUUUAUGGGAAAAAAGAAGCUCAGAAAGCCAAGCAAAAACAAAAAUCAAUUGAUUUUCUCUUUUAGCCUUUUACGCUUUUGCCUUCUACCUUUACGCGCUUUCCCAUGCCAAUCUUCCUAUAACGACUUCCCUAGUCCCCUUUCCCCAACUUUUCUCCUCUACUUCAAGACCAAUUUUUGUCCAUCAAUCCUGGCUUGUGCUUUGUUACAUUCCCUUCCCUUCUCCUUUUUUGAUUUCCCCUACAUCUCCUUUUCUCUUUGCAAAAGUGACUAGGCUCGUCUCUCUCUCUCUUUUCCCCUAUUCUAAGUGUAGUGGAUUUGAUUAUUUUGCAUCUAUUUUAUUUGAUUUUGCUUGAUUAUGGGUGAUAAAACUUGGUGAUAUCAACCAUCAUAAGUUUGAUAGAUGGAUAUUGGGCUUUAGGCAAUGAUUUGUUGAAAAAAAAUGGCUGCAAUGAGAGGAAGAGGCAAGGGGAUUUGAGUGUGGGGUUGAUUUUUGAUGAAUUGUUGUUUUGGACAAAAUUUGAGGUUGAGUUUUAUCAAAUUUGGUAGCAAGUGGCGAGAUUUGUUCUGGUUGUGGGAAAUAAAUUGGAUUGUGGUUUCUUGGGCACCCACAGUUGUUGGAAUUGGUUUUGAUUCAAAUAAGGGUGGUUACUUGAUUUUCCUAAUAGUGUUGCUUAAGAGCACACGAUCAUCAAAAUUCCUUAUUUUUAUCUUUUAUUUGUAGAAAAGAUUUCAUGACUUUCAUGAUAGUCUAAUUUGGAAGAAGGCAAUCAAGGGAUGCAAUCAACAUUUAGCAAAAGCUCUUGUUCUUUUCUUUGUAAAUUUCUGGGUAAAGAGGGUAGUUUAGGGUAUUUGAAGGAAAUGAUAGCCUAUUGGGCAUAUUUUGAAGCAUAAAUAGUGAAAGUGAGGGAGGUUGGUGUAAUUUCUGAAACCUAAGGGAAGCUGUCUGAAAUUGUCCUAGACCUCAGGGUAGGUUUCUGAAAUUAUCCCUAGAAAUCAAAUGCGAAACUUGAUUAGUACACGCACACACCACACCGCACCGCACCCCGCCAUGCGUGUAUUGAGGACCGAUGUCCGUAACGAACCACAAGCAGGUUUUCAAUUUCUUUUUUCCUUUUCUGGAUUCUCCAGAGAUAGUGUCAACUUCUAUUAGUGAUGAGCAGGAGGAAAUGCACAAUAUAAAGUACAGAUCACCCAUAUUCUUUUUAAUUGCACAAUGUAUGAGAUUAUGGUGAUUCGAAAUUAAAUUAUAGGUUUAUUGGGCUACGAAUCCAAAGUAAGCGUUGGAAAUGUAUUGUGACAACAAUUGUUAACUUAGGCCACAAAUGAUCAAAAUAAAUAUUGAAGGUUUAAUAUGAGAUUAUGGGUACGUUCAAAAUAUAUUUACUCAAAGAACAAAGUUAUUCGACUAUAUGUUUAUUCACGUCUACUAACUUAUUUAAAGUCAUUUUUUAUUUCACUAUCCAAAGAAGAAUUCUUGGGCGUUAACAUUUUUCUUACAUGCCAAGACUAUUAAUGCAAGUUGACCCAAAUCUCUCUCCCUUUUUCUCUCAAUUCUUAGGACGUACUGAUGCCAAUUCUUACCGUUUAGAAAGAAAAAUUAGAUUGUUUAUAUAUAUGAUGAGUUCCCUCUAAGUCAUGGUUAAGAAAAAUUCUUAGUUAAACGCAGUUUUAUGAAAUGUGAAUUUCCUUUUCUUUGUCUUUAUUCAUUGGUAUUAUUGGGGUUAUUGUAUUAUGAUUGCAAUGCACAGAUACAGGGAUUUAAUCGACUCUGACUAUGUCUCAAACUCGAGACCUUAUGCUUGUAAAAAUUCAGAAGAAUAAUUUUGGACCUUAUUACUUAAUAAUGGUACAAUUAUGAGAGUCAUUCCAGGUUAAUUAUCAAACUUGGAACUUGAAAAUAAUGUCGACAUCAUGUCAUUAUUAUUUUUUUAGUUUCAUAGAAAAAUGAAGUAUUCUCCGACUCGACAUUAUCAUAGUGUAUUUUCAAUUGGCAGCUCAUGUGAGAAAGACAAGAAAUUCACAAUCAACUGGCCAAGAGAGUGCCAACAAAGAAAGCACUAAAUGGCUUAAACAAAGCAUGCAAAUUUGCUUAGCACUUAAACAAUAGACACCUAAAUCAACCAUGUCACUGUCUUGCCAAAAAAAUUCACAAUCAACUGGCCAAGAGAGUGCCAACAAAGAAAGCACUAAAUGGCUUAAACAAAGCAUGCAAAUUUGCUUAGCACUUAAAAAAGGGCAUUAAAGUAAAAACAACUCAUGCCUACCACAGGUAACAAACUUCAGCACCUUCACUUCACUGCCACGUCAUCAACAACAUUUGCAAAUUUCCAAGGAAGUCCACGCACUAAAGGUGCCCAUGCCCCAUAGGGGACCUCAGGUUAGUGUUCUUAACAUCAACUCCUGUCUUUCUGCUCUUAAACGUUAUAACUAAUCCUGAUUUCCUUAUGCUGUAUUUGUACACAAUUUGGCAACUAGGGUGUCCUUUCUUGGGCCAAAUUGGACAAGUAAAAAAAAUAAAAAUUAAAAGGUUUAUCUGCAAACUGUAGUUCGGCCUGGCUUCUUUUUUUUUUUUGGAUAAGAUCAUCUCAGCACCCGCAGACCCCGUCAUGUAUCAAUAUUUCUGUACUUAGCAUUGGCUUCUUCUCGCCUGAAGAACACACGAACCACCGAAAUAGAUGGUGCAUGAAAGUGCACUUAACCCUUUUAAUUUUUCAAAACAAUGCUUUUAGAAAAAAUAAUAAAAACUUUUUGAAUUUAAUUUUAGAGAAGAAGAAUUUUAAAAUUUUUUGAAUUUAAUCUUAGAGAAGAAGAAGUUUAAAAUGUACUUUCAUUUUCACAACUGAUGAUGAAGAUAGCAAAAUGUACACGGAUAGUGACAAAAGUGGGAUCACGGGCAGGAAAUCCUGAAGGUUACGUGCAUUUUGUACACGGCAUAAUUCUGUUUGUAUAUGGUAUACCUUACUUUUUACAACGUGUAUUUUUAGAACAAAAUUUUGUGAGUCUCACACAUUUUAUUAAAAAUGAGGUACAAGAUGAAAUUUGGACCGUAUAAUUUUUUUUAAUCAAAUCUUGACCGUGAACUGCUCAGGGACGAUCCACCUGAUGACCGUCCCUGCCCCAGAUCCGACAAAAGUGCCAUCUUAUCCUUUUACUGACUGGCCCGUUUUCCAAUGACAGCGCCCAGAAGGGGUGCCUCUGCUUCAUAGUUUAUCCAUAUUGAUAUUUCUUUUCUGUACCCCUGACUAUUAAAUGUGAAAGGGUGCCCACCAAAUUUGACGAAACCGUUUAUCCUAAUUGAUUAUUAUCAAUAGGGCAUAACUUUAAUAUUCUACUUCCAACCCUUUCUGGUGAUUCCUGCAACUCCAGCCGUCCGUCAAUGACCAUAGUGCACCAUUAACCGACAACUAACUAACCACUACUAAUCUAUUCUCAAAUUUUAAUGAAAUUGCACAAUUAGUUUUCAUUUCUCACUUUUAUUUCAAAUUUGGUCUCAAUUUAAUGUGAAUCCCAAUAAAUAAGACCGGAGUUGAAAUCAAAGAAGGUAUUUCAAUCACCAUCAGAUAAAUUCUUCAUAUCUAGUUUCGUUUUUGAGAUGCAUAGAAAAUGUAAGCUGAUUUUUCAAUCUACGAGAAAAACGAAGUCUAAGAGAAUAAUUUUGUCAAAAUUUGACAAUGGAAUAACAGUUGUGAACCGUUGGUCACUGGUUGGCAGCUAGAAGUUAUAGCAGUUUUAAGCAUAAUUGGAGAAAGUAAAAGAUUAAAACUACGUUGUCUACUAUUAACGACUUACAUUGACAAAAUGGCUAAAGCUAGGGUUGAAAAAUAAAUCAAACUACGUGACAUUUGAAUCAACUGCGAUUUGGUAAGAGUUUAUUUCAAUUUGGUUUGUCAACUAGUCAAAUCAAAUUUAAACAACAUUUUAUAGUCGAUAACUUUGAAACUUGAUAAAAAAAAGUCUGUUUAAACUCGGUUUAGUAAAUAAACAAAUCAAGUUUGAACAAAAUUUUAAACUCAUUAAAAUAAUUAAAUACGUUUGAAUACUAGGGUAUUCGAUUUAAUUAGACACGUUUGUACCCCUAAUUAAAGUAUGCACUUUUCUAAGUUUAGGAAUCAACAUUAUACAUUUAAUAGCUAGCUAGAGGGUCAAAAAGUUAAUUGCCUUAAAUUCUUUUAGCAGCCACAAGGUAUAGUUGGAGGGAUUCCCUUGAAAUUGAUUAGAUUCUUCUAUGUGACUAAAGAAUUUCGGAUGUGACGCAUUACUAGUCCUACCCUAAAAAAAAUGGUAUUACUAGUCCUUUUAUUCUUUUUUGGCGUGCCCCCGCCGUGGGGUGUGGGGAGGGGAGCCUGUGCGAGAAUUCUAGAUGGGGUACAAGGAGCCAAAGUUCACCUUAUUCAAAGUAAACAGCCUUCCAUCUCAGAUGUUGAAUUUCCUGGCAAUUGCGUAUGUAUUACAAUCUUUUACCAUGACUUUAGAGGAUAGCUAAUUUUGCUUGCUAUUAAAUAAUAAUUUCGGUAGUCUAUAAAUACUCUUGUUCCUCACUGCUUCUUGCACCACAUAAUUCUUUCAAGAACUACUAAAACCUUCUUGAAAUCCCUCUCUUUCCUUUUAGUUCAUUUCCAAGAAACAAAUUGAACCAUCAUGGCCCCUGUCACUUCCAGUUAUGAGGUCACCUCCUCAAUCCCUCCUGCAAGGUUGUUCAAGGCCACCAUCCUUGAAGAGAAGCAU